Anastrepha obliqua is the source of this 275-nucleotide long non-coding RNA. RefSeq lists it as uncharacterized. NCBI's taxonomy places the organism in Eukaryota, Metazoa, Arthropoda, Insecta, Diptera, Tephritidae. The record is from RefSeq and is a predicted model, not a curated record. The transcript has 2 exons.
CAAAUGUAAAUAGUUUUUGUUUUCGAUUUUCAAAAAUAGUAUUUACGAAUCUAUAGAAGUAACAGGAAUUCCAUGCCAAGGAAAUAAAACUGCUCCUAAUUUUGAUAGUUAUAGUUCUUACGCUGCGGAUGACAAUUGAAAUCACUUGAUCGCAUAAAUGCAAACAAACAUGAGUACAUACUUACUAAUGUAUGUACAGAUAUGAAGAUCGUUUUGUUUACAUAUAUAAAGAUAUCCUUGCGGUGCCAUAGAAAAUAAUAUAGUAAGGAUUACAU